UCACCGAAAUCAAGCAUCAUUGGGCGCGGUCAGUACUUGGGUGGGUGACCACCUGGGAACACCGCGUGCCGUU
Molecule: non-coding RNA, 73 nt
Organism: Caerostris extrusa
Lineage: Eukaryota; Metazoa; Arthropoda; Arachnida; Araneae; Araneidae
Source: the annotation of a GenBank genome assembly